GAUGAAGAACGUAGCGAAAUGCGAUAAGUAAUGUGAAUUGCAGAAUUCAGUGAAUCAUUGAAUCUUUGAACGCACAUUGCGCCCGCCAGUAUUCUGGCGGGCAUGCCUGUUCGAGCGUCAUUUCAACCCUCAAGACCCCUUCGGGGGACUUGGUGUUGGGGACCGGCACAGGGGCCUGCCUGCUUGUCUUGCAGCGCCCUCGCCGCCCCCGAAAUGAAUUGGCGGCCUCGUCGCGGCCUCCCCUGCGUAGUAGCACAAACCUCGCAACGGGAACGUGACGGCGGCCACUGCCGUAAAACAACCCAAUUUUAUUAGAGUUGACCUCGAAUCGGGUAGGAAUACCCGCUGAACUUAAGCAUAUCAAUAAGCGGAGGA
RNAcentral lists this unclassified non-coding RNA (375 nucleotides) under soil metagenome. Its description in RNAcentral is "partial contains 5.8S ribosomal RNA, internal transcribed spacer 2, and large subunit ribosomal RNA". The stretch from base 1 to 120 matches the Rfam family "5.8S ribosomal RNA", at positions 35 to 154 of the family's 154-position model. The record is from RNAcentral.